CUUUAGAGCUCUCGCGCCAGCUAGUGGUAGCGACGAGGAACUGCACGGUUGCUCUCAGAUUCUGAACUCUGCUUCGCCACGUGACCUUUUCCUGUAGCCUCCCAUCGUUUUCUUCAUCAACGUAACGAGUCGUUGCGGUUGGUGAGCGAGGAGUAGACGACGGGAUUAUGGAUGAAUUUAGAUAAACAAGUAGACCAGGGGCAGAGAGAGGAAAGGCCAGACAAACGCAACCGCUUUCCCCAAAGGAUUUGAGAUCAUUUAUUUAUUUGUUUAAAUAUUCCUGGCAUUCGACGGAGCAAGUCUGUUUUUCAUUUGUAGACACGCUUGACUAUAUACCAGAGCCAUGCAAUAACUGUGAGUCUCACCCCAGACAGCACCGAGUACAUGCUGGAAAUGUAUGUUUGCUUCUAGGCAGCAAAUAUUUCUGGUGUGCACUGGAAUUCUGAGAGGAACGAUUCUCAGAUACUUAGCAGAGCAGAAACCUCUUAGGGAUGGCAUUUGUAUCUGGCACCCUAUAUGGAAAAAACGUUAAAGUUAUACACAAAGGGCACUUUUUAGGCUAGACGAAACACAUUUGGGGUGAAGCUCGGUCCACUCUCAAAGAGACUCACGCUAUGAUGGUUUUUGGGAAAACUGAAAAUGAGGCAUUUAUUUUACAAAGAAAGAGACUUUUUUGGCAGGCUACUUCUUCCAUUUAAUUAAGCAAUAUCUGAUCGUGCUGGGGCUAUAGAGGUUGCUAAUAAAUAAAUCCCAAAGCAGAGACGUCACACUCACUAAAUGGUAGGGGCUUUUUAUUAACGCUAUUGCUGAUUGCUAAAAAUCAAUAUUACUAAUAACACACAUGAAAUUUAUUAUGAAAACAAGCUGAGAGUGGUUAAGGAGUUUUCUUUAGAAAUUUCAUUUGUAGAUCUGUGCCAGUAAUGGAGAACAAGGACAUUCAUUCCAGGUUGGGGCCACUUGUAAUGUUUUUGGAAGUGAAUUUGGAGUUUGAUGUUUGGACUAGCCUGGCUGGCAGUGAGCCCCCGGGAUCCACGUCUCUGCCUUCCGGCAGUGGGGUUCCAGGCGCACCCCUCUGUGCCCGGCUUCUCACACGGAUACCGGGGAUCAGAGUGAACAAGCGCUCUACCCACUGAGCCAUCCUCCCACCUCCUUGCUGCAUACUUCCUUUUGCUCAGCCUCCAAGGGUCUGGUCUGUCUUUAAGCUCACCGACUGCUAAACUAACCCAACUGUA
Mesocricetus auratus (golden hamster) is the source of this 1232-nucleotide long non-coding RNA. RefSeq lists it as uncharacterized. The record is from RefSeq and is a predicted model, not a curated record. The transcript has 2 exons. Lineage: Eukaryota; Metazoa; Chordata; Mammalia; Rodentia; Cricetidae.